RNAcentral lists this ribosomal RNA (484 nucleotides) under uncultured bacterium. RNAcentral describes it as "partial 16S ribosomal RNA". It matches the Rfam family "Bacterial small subunit ribosomal RNA", at positions 30 to 507 of the family's 1533-position model. The record is from RNAcentral.
AUUGAACGCUGGCGGCAGGCCUAACACAUGCAAGUCGAGCGGAUGAAGGGAGCUUGCUCCUGGAUUCAGCGGCGGACGGGUGAGUAAUGCCUAGGAAUCUGCCUGGUAGUGGGGGAUAACGUCCGGAAACGGGCGCUAAUACCGCAUACGUCCUGAGGGAGAAAGUGGGGGAUCUUCGGACCUCACGCUAUCAGAUGAGCCUAGGUCGGAUUAGCUAGUUGGUGGGGUAAAGGCCUACCAAGGCGACGAUCCGUAACUGGUCUGAGAGGAUGAUCAGUUACACUGGAACUGAGACACGGUCCAGACUCCUACGGGAGGCAGCAGUGGGGAAUAUUGGACGAGGGGCGAAAGCCUGAUCCAGCCAUGCCGCGGGUGUGAAGAAGGUCUUCGGAUUGUAAAGCACUUUAAGUUGGGAGGAAGGGCAGUAAGUUAAUCCCUUGAUGUUUUGACGUUACCAACAGAAUAAGCACCGGCUAACUUCGUG